RNAcentral lists this ribosomal RNA (394 nucleotides) under uncultured delta proteobacterium. RNAcentral's name for it is "bacterial SSU rRNA". It matches the Rfam family "Bacterial small subunit ribosomal RNA", at positions 9 to 393 of the family's 1533-position model. The record is from RNAcentral. Lineage: Bacteria; Deltaproteobacteria.
GAGUUUGAUCUUGGCUCAGAACGAACGCUGGCGGCGUGCCUAACACAUGCAAGUCGAACGCGAAAAGCAGUAAUGCUGAGUAGAGUGGCGCACGGGUGAGUAACACGUAACUGACAUGUCCUCGAGACAAGGAUAACCGUUCGAAAGGAUGGCUAAUACUUGGUAAGCCCACGGGAUAGGACCUGAGGGAAAAGGGUCGGGAUUUUUCGAAACCGAUCGCUUGAGGAGUGGGUUGCGGCCCAUCAGCUAGUUGGCGGGGUAAGAGCCCACCAAGGCGACGAUCGGUAGCUGGUCUGAGAGGAUGAUCAGCCACACUGGAACUGAGACACGGUCCAGACUCCUACGGAGGCAGCAGUGGGGAAUAUUGGACAAUGGGCGCAAGCCUGAUCCAGCC